RNAcentral lists this ribosomal RNA (492 nucleotides) under uncultured bacterium. RNAcentral's name for it is "partial 16S ribosomal RNA". It matches the Rfam family "Bacterial small subunit ribosomal RNA", at positions 29 to 507 of the family's 1533-position model. The record is from RNAcentral.
AGUGAACGCUGGCGGUAGGCCUAACACAUGCAAGUCGAACGGCAGCACAGUAAGAGCUUGCUCUUACGGGUGGCGAGUGGCGGACGGGUGAGGAAUACAUCGGAAUCUACUUUUUCGUGGGGGAUAACGUAGGGAAACUUACGCUAAUACCGCAUACGACCUACGGGUGAAAGCAGGGGAUCUUCGGACCUUGCGCGAUUGAAUGAGCCGAUGUCGGAUUAGCUAGUUGGCGGGGUAAAGGCCCACCAAGGCGACGAUCCGUAGCUGGUCUGAGAGGAUGAUCAGCCACACUGGAACUGAGACACGGUCAAGACUCCUACGGGAGGCAGCAGUGGGGAAUAUUAGACAAUGGGCGCAAGCCUGAUCCAGCCAUACCGCGUGGGUGAAGAAGGCCUUCGGGUUGUAAAGCCCCUUUGUUGGGAAAGAAAAGCAGCAGGUUAAUACCCCGCUGUUCUGACGGUACCCAAAGAAUAAGCACCGGCUAACUUCGUG